Molecule: ribosomal RNA, 274 nt
Filed under: uncultured bacterium
Lineage: Bacteria
Description: partial 16S ribosomal RNA
Rfam family: Bacterial small subunit ribosomal RNA
Source: RNAcentral
AUACGGAGGGUGCAAGCGUUACUCGGAAUCACUGGGCGUAAAGCGCGCGCAGGCGGCUAUUUAAGUUGGAUGUGAAAGCCUACGGCUCAACCGUAGAACUGCAUCCAAAACUAUUUAGCUAGAGUGUGGGAGAGGAAGAUGGAAUUAGUUGUGUAGGGGUAAAAUCCGUAGAGAUAACUAGGAAUACCAAAAGCGAAGGCGAUCUUCUGGAACACUACUGACGCUGAGGCGCGAAAGCGUGGGGAGCAAACGGGAUUAGAAACCCUAGUAGUCC